UCAAAUAUUUUACUUACAAUAUGCGUGUGUAGCGUGCAAAAUUAUUAGCAGAAAAUUAUGUGUAGGAAUCAGACCUUCAUACGGGUAAGCACAACUGAAUCGUUUCGCGAUUCAGUCUGAAUCGUUCACGCACUAAAUCGGACUUGAGCACGGAAUCGUUUGGAGCGGUUUCUCACUCUGUAAAACAGCAACGCAGCACUUUAGAACACAGAAAAUCAAAAACGCGUUGGAUGAAGCGGAUUUGUACCUACGAUUGAAAUAAAUAAAUCUGCAAAAGCGUCCUAUAUCGGUUGCCAGCGAUGAGGAAAGUCUUUACGUUCAGCAACUGCACGUGCAGCUUCUGAAAGACUCCUUACUGCAGGGAUGAAACGACCCAUCGGAUGAAUGCUUGUCAGAGAACUGUGACCCUCUCUCUUUCUCUCUCCUCUCCCCCUUUUUCUUUUUUCUCACUCUCACUCGGUAUCCGGAGUUUGCAGGCCUUUCUUUGUGAUCCGUGGUGGAUAAUGGUCAUUCCUGCUGCUCCGGCAAACAGUGGAUCAGGAGAGCAUUUCCAGGUGACCAGAAAGAGACCAUGGGACAGAGUGAGGGCUAAAUUGUGGAAUUACAUGGUGAUCAGUGCUAGAUUUGUUGGACAGGGCCGAAGAUCAAUUGGUCACAGAAGCCCCCAUCUUCCCCCAGUGUAGAGCGUGGGAAAGUCUGAUUGGGUCAGAAGAUCAUGGUUUCCUGGUGAUAGAUGCCAGGCCAGGGGUAUAUAGUGGGCAUGUGUGUAAGACUGGGCCCAACUGCUCUACUCUGCCCUGCCCUGGCACUUCCCUGGCACAAAAUAAAGAUAGCCCAGCCUCGGUGUGUGCCAAUCUGCUGCUUCUCCCCAUGCCUUCUGUGCCAACACCUCAACAAGUUCACAGAUGACUGGUUCAGUAUCUUCCUUGACACUUUUAAAUCCAUGUUUUGGAUUCCAAUGCUCACUUCAUAUACAGAUUAAAUUUAUUUAAGGGGGGGAAAGAGUGGUACAUACAGGGUUAACCGUGUGUGACCAUCUCUCAGUGAGUAAUUCUUAAAAUUGGAGAAGCUUAUAAUGAAACACAUUUGGUCAGGUGAUAAUGACAGAAUGAGGCUGGAGAAUCAGAAUCAGGGUGUGAGAUUGUUACAAACACCAACAUGCCCCACACAAAGGCAGGGGGUCCAUUUAAAGAAGUAGGCCUACAUCUCUCUAGUCUAAAUAACGACUUUAUUUUUUAAAACAUUUUUAAAUUUGAUAUAAACUGGUUUGAUCUGUAAUAGGCCCUACAGAAGAUAUCCAUUUGGGGAGGAAACAAUGUUAUAUUAUAAUGAAAUGAUGUGUAACAUACCUUUUAAUGUAAACUGAGCCAAAACCUUUUUUGGGGGUAACAUUUAGGUGAUUGGGACAGCACAUAUUUUCAUUGAUUUAGGCUAGUGUGAGCAUAUUCAAAUGCAAGAUUUCCCUUUUUUGUUCAUCAUUAUAAAGAGUUUAUAAAUCCAUCCACAGUUCAUAUUUCAUACACUAUACAACACAUGUAAUUGAGGUAAAAGAAGGCAUGAUGUCCAAAAAAUGCUUCUGGUCCAAAAUUCAUAAAAAAAAAAAUAAAAAAAAAAAUAAAAAAGUAAACUGACCCAAAACCUUUUUUCUUUUUAUUAUUUUAGUAACAUUUGGAUGAAAGGUUAUGUGGCCCCAUCCCCAAUAAACUGUUUGACAAACGCAUUUAACCUGCACAAACCUUAACAUGAAUAUGGUGUAUUGCUGCAACAAAAUAAGUUAAAAAAAAUGUUUCUAUUUUCAGAAUAAGGUUGUUUUAUUUUAGCAAAAUCCAGCUAGUUCAUGAACAUUUUCGUGGUUGAUUAGAGGUUGCACAAUGAAGAGGAUGGAAACCAGCAUACAGAGCAUUUUCUUAAUUAGCAAAGUCUUUAAGCACUGUUCCCAUCCAUCCAAAUUGUGUUUGAGUGGAUGGGACAAAAUAAAAACAACCUAAUUCUGAAAACAUAACAUGAUAUUAACACAUUUUUUUAGUGAUUUUGUUGCAGUAGAGCAACAAAGUAGUCAUGUUUCCAUCAAAUGUUUGUGCAAUAUGACACAUUUAUGACCUUAUUAUGAAAACUACCUAAAGCUCAUUUUCCUCACUUCAUGCAUUUCAGGGUCAACUUCCUGUUUGAUGCCUGCCCUGCCCACCCACAUGAUGUCACACCAAUGAGGGCAUUCAAUUUUGAUUAUGUGGUCUCAUCAAUGCUAUCUCAUGACCAAUUCGUACAUAUUUUACAAGGUGGCUAAUUCGUACCAAUUCGUAUGACCUCACUCACGAAUUCAUCCGAUUUGUCUAAACCCCAGUGACAGGUAGGUUUAUGGGCGGGGUUAGGGGUAGGUCAUUUGUACGAAUUCAUACAAAUUUGGCAACUCACAAAAUACGUAGGAUUAGCAAAAAACCUACGAAUUCAUAAUAGUGAGGUCAUACAAAUUUGUACAAAUUAGCCACCUUGUAAAAUACGUACGAAUUGUUGUGAGAUCAGGUUGGUCUCAAGCUGGCAAAAAAAAAAAAAAGGAAGAAAUUCCUUUCACUCAUUAGGGCAAGAAAAUAAUUGGUUAUAGGUUACUGUCCCAGUUGACCUUAUCACCCUGAAUUCACCCCUGUGAUUCAUACAAGACAUGGAAUUGAUUUAAAUCAUUCAUGAAACUUUUAAUAAUGUUUAUCAUGCAUCACAUUUAGUGCCUUAAUUCAGUUUUUACGAUUUAACUGUUAAUUCGACACAGAAAGUAGGCUAUUUCUUCCUUGGCAUUCACUAAAUAAAUAAACGGGCAUAAUAUGGAAAUAUUAAAUAGACACGCCUAUAUUAUAUAGGAAUUCAGGGAGAGGGUUUUAGGGGUCAUUUCUAUGAGAUUUCUAUUCGGUUUCUAUUCAGAACUAUUACUGAAGACUUCAGUAAUAGUUCUGAAUAUAGUUCAUCUCGCUUACACCGGAGGCUACUAGCUACUGUCUUUUGCAGGCUUUUUUAUUUGACUAAAAAAGUUUUAUAUCAUGUGUGUGUGUGUGUGUGUGUGUGUGUGUGUGUAUGUGUGUGUGUGUGUGUACUUGUAUUUAUUACUUUGUGAUAAAAAAAGUACGAAAGAUACGGAAUGUUUGAAUGUUUGACUUUGUGAGGUCCUUUAAUUGGACCCCACAAGGACAAAAUCUUUUAUAUGAGACUAAAUGUUGACUCAAUUUAUUAUCGUCUUUCCCUACACUAUACCUAAACCUACCCGUCACAGGAACCUAAUGUAACAAUUCACAAAACCAAACCUGUGUGUGUGUGUGUGUGUGUGUGUGUGUGUGCGUGCGUGUGUGUGUAAUAGUAGUAAAGUGCUAAAUAAUAACAGUAUUUUGCCUAUGUAACGUUCUGAUUCUAGUGCUAGAGCAGCAUACUGUUGCUAUCACCACACUCUAAAAAAUGUUGGGUUGUUUAUUGUACCCAAUAUCUGGGUUAAACAUAUUGGGUCGCUUUGUUGGGUUAUUCCUAGUGUUUAUUGGGUUAUUUAUAUAUUAACCCACCAUUGGGUUAUCUGUUGGGUCAUUUUUAACUGUUUUAAUCGAGCAAUUCAGAGAAAUGGGAUUUUUUUUAGAAAAACUAGCUUUUCUACUCCCAGUGUUAAUUCAUAUUAGUAAAGCAGAAAGAAGGGGCAUGUUGAAAGCCUUUAGGCUAACUCAAAAUAUUAAGUAAAACAUUCUUCAGUUGCCACAUUGAGCAGUAGGUUAUAGAUGGAUUGUGACAAUUUGAUAUGAUAGCCUACCUGUGCUUUAGGUCCAAUUAAACAAUGAGGACCCAUCCGUGCUCAAAUGUAUGUGUGCAGGCCUAUGUAUUUGCACGGUGAUGUUGAAUCAAUUUGACACCUCGGAAUGAGGGAGAUCUUAUUUUUCACGCUCGUUUCAGGCUGUUGAAAUAAUCUGGUCUCAUUAGUCGGCCGCCGAACUGGUCUGAUUUAUCCAGACUGUCAGUGACCCUGUAGUACCGCGGGUCCCGAAUCAAUCACCGAGCUUGAACGGCUAAACCUGAGACCAAAACGUGCUUGAUUUAUCUACCAAAUUACCGAGGCCUAAAGACACGACCGAGGAAAUUGCGCGCUACUCCCUCAAGCAGUGUACCAUCACAGGCCCACCCCCACUCAAAGGAUCUCAAAACAAAUUGUUGGGGGUCUUACAAACUACAUUAAACGGGUUAUUUCUGUAUACUUUUAAGAACGUUUCCGUUGCAUUUUAAGUCACCCACAUCGCUCGAGCACUUUCAGAAAUGAUCAGUAUCGAACAGUAGCUCGGUAUGUAGGCCUUCUUACAUUAGGCCUAUUUAUAAAUUUAUUAUAUUCCCAUAUCACAGUUAUUUUAGAAAAAAAAAAUUUAAACAAAAACGAUAUGGGCACCAAAAGACAUUAUGGAUUGCACUGACAAGAACCAGUAGACUUGGUCAAUGUGUGGUCAUACAGCUGUAAAAAACAAAUGUCAUAAUGAAUAAGAAGUCAUAGAGAUGCACCGAUACCGAUACCAGUAUCGGUAUCAGGCCCGAAACCAAGCUCAUGUACUUGUACUCGUAAAAAUACCCCCGAUACCAAAAGACCAAUACCUCACGUGACGUAACUGACAGAAUUUUCCGGAAACGCUCGCUCUCUCGCGCAUGCGCGAUCUCAGUUCUCUAAGACAGCGCACAAUCAGUUCUCCUUGCGCCUGGAUGGUCAAAUGCACACAUACUGUAGUUGUCAAAAUGUCCAUCGUGUGGAGUAUCUCACGUAAAUACAGUCGGUUAUGGCUUAAGUGGACGUAAACAGGUGGGUGAAAACAGGAUAUAUGUCAGAGUAUAUUACAUCCAUGGAUUCGGUCUUAAGGGACAGUAGCCUAAUUAAAUAUUUGUCUGUCAUUAAUGUUAAUAAAACAACAAAAGAAGUUAAAUAAAUGUAUAUAUAAUAUAUAUCAUGAAAUAAAAUUUGUGCUGUAAGUUUGUGACAAACACAUAAAAAUUAUUACUUUUUUCAUUUGAAUAAUAAUAAAGAAGCUGUGCUACAUUCAUUAGACUCACUGUGUUGUUUUUGGAAAACUGCCACAUCAAACAAGAAAAAAAAAAGAAAUUAAUAAAUGUAUAAAGGCAUCGGUAUCGGUAUCGGCGAGUACCAGAAAAAAGUAUCGGUACUCGUACUCGGUCCUUAAAAAUGGUAUCGGUGCAUCCCUAGUCAUUAUGUUCCGAAAAUUUAGUCACAUGAAAAUGCAGAGUGAAUUUAGCAAACCUUUGCAAUGCAUGACCUGUUAUAAGUGUAGCAUAAGGUGACGUUAAGUAUGAAAUUGAAUGUAUUUAUCGCCACUGAACUUCGAGAGGGUGAAAACAAAUUCAUCUAAAAGCAUCUUUAUAUGGCCAUAUUAAGGGUGCGCUGCAGCAGGGUUUGUCUCUGCUCCAAAUUCAGUGUAAAUACGAUGGCACAGUAUAUGUCAGCUUUGAACCAUAGUAAAUUUGACUCUGUUGCAGCUGCUUCUGUAAAUGGACUCUUAAAAAUAAAGGUUCCAAAAGGGUUUUUUUGCAGCAAUGCCAUAGAAGAACUAUUUUUGUUUCCUCAAAGAACCUUUCAGUGAACAGUUCUUAAAAGAAUCAUUUUUAGUGUGAAGAACAUUUGAAUAAUCUAAAGAAUCUUUUUACACUAUUAAGAGCCUUUUGUGGAAUGAAAAGGUUCCAUGGAUGUUAAAAGUUCUUCAUGGAACCAUCAAUGCCAAUAAAGAACCUUUAUUUUUAAGAGUAUAGGCUACUUCUCAAAAAUUGUUGUCAUGAUCAUUUUUAAUUAUUUGUAUUUUAGUUUCAUAUUUUUAUUUAGAAAUUUAGAUAUUCAUUAAUAAUUUCAAAUUUUCUAUAUUUACAAUUUAAUGUUUAAAAUACUUAAUAACAUUAUUUCUGCAAUUAUUGAUGUAUUAAUGCCACGUCUGUGUAUCUUUAAACAGUAGGUGUAUACAAUUUUUAAUGGGGAAAUGACAUGAAAUUAUUUAGGAAGUUGAUAUCCUGUGAAUAUUUGUAGGGUACAUCGGGGCUAAAGGCGCACCAGGGUAAAAGGCGCGUUUGACUUUAUUCUCCUUUAAACCACUAGAUGGCAGAAAAAUUCAGCAUAGGACUUUUCUUAACAGCCGCUUUUAAUGAUGCACGUGGAAAUUUGGCUGAUUCUUGACGUGAUCCGCACUAAUUUGAUCUAAUAUUUAAUGUUUGCUUGUUUGUUUGUUUGUUUGUUUUUAAAUGUUGUAGAUUUAUGUAGCAAAUGAGAAUCUAUAAAAUUAUUGUCUAUACUUUAAGACAAAGGUCUUGUUAAUGGUUUUCAGUUAAUAAACCAACAGUUUUUCAAUAACGGAAGAAUAUGUAGCCUAAAAGUAUGUAUUUGGGGUAAAAAGCGCACCUGCUGUUGGGGCUAAAGGCACAAUAAUUAACAUGAUAAUAAAUAGAUGGCUGACUUAUCCAUUUGUUGACAUGACAAGGCUAGAUUCAGAUGGUAAAUAUCGCAUAUCAUAUUGGGUAUCCACCUUAGAGAUAAUACCCAUAUUUAUAAACCAUCAUAUUUAAGAAUAUUAUAUUAAUCAUAUCAUAAAAUAUAUUUAUUGUGUUACUGUAAAGCGUUAUUAAAUUAUUAUGGGAUCUCAUUCAAUGCUUUCAGAAUCUUUACUUUUUUUAAUAAUUUUUGUUUCUGUAUUUUUAAAAUGAACAUAUUUUAAUGACACAAUUCUUUUAUUUAUCGAAAUAUACCGAAAAUAGUACAAACUUUGAAAAAGUGAUUGUUUUGAACAAGUAUUGGCCUAACUUAGACAUAAUUUAAAACAUAUUAUUUUAGCUAAAGUAUUUCUAUCAACACUGUGUGCCUUUUGCCCCAUGCUGGUGAGUCUUUUACCCCAUAUGUGGGGUAAAAGGCGCACACCUCAUACAUUUAUAAGAUUUUUUAACAAACAAACCCAUUUUAUGAUUUAUUUUCACACAAAAUCUGUUGCUCCAUCAAUGUUCAAUAAACAUAUAUAUUUUUUCUGCAAUCUAUGGGAGUAGUGAAAAGCACAUGUUUCUUAGUGUCUGCCAUUUUAUCCCCGUUGUACCCUACUUUUAAAAAAAAUAUAUACUGCAGGAAUAUGUAGAAUAAACCUAAAAUCACCUAGAAUAUACUUUUAAACAUUCACAUAAAUAUUAACAAAAUUGUCUUGUUAAUUGGGCCUAAGAAAAGUCCAUGCACUGUUAUGUCAACUAUCCAUACGCUUCUUUGCCGCCAAUGCAAAGAAAUUAAGCGAGAGUGAGAAUUGACGUUGAGGCUAAUUAAUUGUGCAAAGGUUUUCUUUUUAAAUAAAAAUGUGACAUGCAAUUAAAUGAGAAACUCAACCAGCAUUAAUGAAACUUGAUGUCCUAAUUUCACAACACAAUGUUUUGGGCCACCAUCCACGUUAAGGUUUUUAUGGGUGGAUUUUAAAAAGACAACCCCGUUGUCCGUUGUCUGUUCACGCGGCUCUAGGGUGGCAAUCUCUCCCGGGAGAAAAGAGGAAAUGAGAUACGGAGAUAGAAGGCUACGGGAGGUGGUAAAUUAGCUGCCUGAUCCGCACUCAUUGGCGCAUACACUUCCCCCAUUAACUCGCCCUGACAGCCACACUCUCUCCACCACCCCCCUCUCGCUGCUGUUUCUCCACUCGGUACCCGGGGCAUGGCGGCCUUGUAGAUUUAUCAUGCGGAGAAAUGAAUGUAUGAUGAUCAGUUAAAUUGAAAAUCAGCAGCCGGCUGUCGAUGAGAAGCAACACCUUCGUAAUUAGCAAGAGAAAUUGCGGCUUACGGACAGAUAAUAGCGUAAAAACAAUUUACACUCCUCCCUUCUCCGUUUAUAAUGAGUCUCAGGGCUCAAAGUGAAAACUUUUUACUCCCUGAAUCUAUAAACCGAGUUCAUAACGUGUACAAGACUAGAUUACAGCACUGGGGGGCUGACCAGACGUGAGGAGAGCCUGUAGUCUCAUCAAUUCAUUUAGUAGAAAUCAAUUCAUUGUUUGUCUUAAUAAAUUAUUAUGCCUACUAGUGCUUGCAGGAUCCCGAGUGAGUGGAUGUGCAUUGUAAUGGGGAUGGCCGACCUUCACAAUCAACUCAUAUAAAAUAUGCCACUGUAAAAUAUUGCCUUUCUUACACUCAUUUCGUCCUACACUCAUAACUACACUAAAACAUUUAUGUUUCUCCUCGCUGAAGUAGCACAUCCCCCCAGAGAUGAUCCCUUCUCUCAUUAUUUUUCCUAUAAGCUAGGUCUCAUGCAGUGCAAAUAGCAGUAACCCGAAAUAAGAAAUUAUGUAAAUGUUAUUAAGGCUGGAAGAUGUCAUUCAUAGGGUAAAGCUCCAGUCCCUCCGUUUACUUUUAAUUUAUUUGCAAAUACAGGGGCUCAAUGAAGAUGACCGGAGGGUGGCGGUUUUACAUUCGUAAAAUACUGCCCACUUGUACAGAAUCUAAACUGUGUGUUGAGAAAAUCUUUUAAGAAAUGUGAUAAUUAAGGGUUUGCUUAAGAACCUAAAAUUCAUCGCAGACCCAUGCUGGGACCGUCUUCUUGUCAAAGACAACCUUGAUCAUAUUGAUCACCAUAUGUAGCCUAGCCUAUUUAUUAAUUCACUUAUGCCCGCUACACUAUUUUCCAGUGCAGAUGCUUUAAUGUGCCAUGAGUUGACCGUAACAUUAUUAGAGUAAACUGGUCUGCAUGGUUGUGUGUGUGUGUGUGUGUGUGUGUGUGUGAGAGAGAAAGAGAGAGAGAGAGAGGAAGAAAGAGAGGGGGGCUGUUCUUAUAUAGAGCGACAAAUGAUCAAUAGGCCGAUAAGGCAGGAACAUCAAUGUACGCGACAGAACAAUGAGGGAUAUCAUCGAACAUCUAUCUUAAUAUUGCCGCCUACGCGUGCCCUGACAGGCCCAUGCGCCUCAUGAAAAUUCCACCCCGCGAAUCACUCAGGCUUGCCUCACUGUGCGCGCGCGCACACACACAUCCUCACACGUACGCUCGCAGCUGCCUGGGCUAUUAUUUCCCCAUUUCAAUCUGACUCGCCAGCCUUUCAUGCUAAUUCUAUUAUUGUUGGAAGUUUAUGUGAUUUCAUAUCGCUGGAAUCGGUAAUGUAUAAUAACCCUUCAGGCUAACAGAAAAAAAAACGUAUCCUCCCAGCCGCCACCGGGAAAAUAAUUACUUUCAUAUCAAAACUCCACAGGAGCUGACCGAGUCCUACCGCCCGCGGCGUGAGACCUCAUUUUAACUGGAGGUUUUGAA
Ctenopharyngodon idella (grass carp) is the source of this 9250-nucleotide long non-coding RNA. RefSeq lists it as uncharacterized. The record is from RefSeq and is a predicted model, not a curated record. The transcript is spliced from 4 exons. NCBI's taxonomy places the organism in Eukaryota, Metazoa, Chordata, Actinopteri, Cypriniformes, Xenocyprididae.